Molecule: ribosomal RNA, 465 nt
Filed under: Vreelandella stevensii
Lineage: Bacteria; Pseudomonadati; Pseudomonadota; Gammaproteobacteria; Oceanospirillales; Halomonadaceae
Description: partial 16S ribosomal RNA
Rfam family: Bacterial small subunit ribosomal RNA
Source: RNAcentral
CCUACGGGAGGCAGCAGUGGGGAAUAUUGGACAAUGGGGGCAACCCUGAUCCAGCCAUGCCGCGUGUGUGAAGAAGGCCCUCGGGUUGUAAAGCACUUUCAGUGAGGAAGAACGCCUGGUGGUUAAUACCCAUCAGGAAAGACAUCACUCACAGAAGAAGCACCGGCUAACUCCGUGCCAGCAGCCGCGGUAAUACGGAGGGUGCGAGCGUUAAUCGGAAUUACUGGGCGUAAAGCGCGCGUAGGUGGCUUGAUAAGCCGGUUGUGAAAGCCCCGGGCUCAACCUGGGAACGGCAUCCGGAACUGUCAAGCUAGAGUGCAGGAGAGGAAGGUAGAAUUCCCGGUGUAGCGGUGAAAUGCGUAGAGAUCGGGAGGAAUACCAGUGGCGAAGGCGGCCUUCUGGACUGACACUGACACUGAGGUGCGAAAGCGUGGGUAGCAAACAGGAUUAGAUACCCCUGUAGGC